RNAcentral lists this long non-coding RNA (234 nucleotides) under Elaeis guineensis (African oil palm). RNAcentral's name for it is "long non-coding RNA (EGUI_LNC025441)". The record is from RNAcentral. Lineage: Eukaryota; Viridiplantae; Streptophyta; Magnoliopsida; Arecales; Arecaceae.
CUUAGGCUGGUAAAAAUAUUCAUCGUGAUCAACUUUGAACAAAAAUCUAAUAUCUAGAAGCAAUACUAAGAGAAGCAACGAAUGCAUUCAAGAAAGUUUGUGGUAACACUCACCAGGCAUAACGUCGUUCUAAGGAUCCAAAAUGCAGCACUUUUUCAACUGAACCUCCGUACACCAAACCGUGCGUUCCCAACCCUCCCAAACCAUUAGUUCCCAAGUGCCUACUGGUCCCCC